Molecule: long non-coding RNA, 451 nt
Organism: Grammomys surdaster
Lineage: Eukaryota; Metazoa; Chordata; Mammalia; Rodentia; Muridae
Exons: 2
Source: RefSeq, a predicted model, not a curated record
AAGUAAUGCCCUGUUGUAUAUAUAUGACAUGUUUUCUCCAUAUUGUGUUGAUAGGCAAGUGUAUCUAGCCUGUGUCUGCGCUGUUGUGAUUAGUGUGGCAUUGUAGCUGAGCUGGGAGCACAGACCGCAAUUUGGUGCUGGCACUGAACAGAGGGCCUUGUGCAUGCUGAGAACCUUCUACCUCUCAUUGCAUUCGACGGAAUCAGUCUUCAGUGAUUUUCCAUUGACUUUUGAAAAAAAAAAGUAUAUUUUGCAUUAAAAUAGUUACUUCAGACCCCUAAUUGUUUGUUAAUACAACUUCACUUUAGGCUGUUAAUCUUUUACCAGUUGAAUUUUCAAAGACCUUGGCCAGAACUUUACUAGUUCUUUAGUAGGCUGAGUGAGAACCUACAUGUUGUUUCAUCAGUUGUACCAGUUCCUUUAAUAAACUGCAUUUUUUGGUCAGUGGAAA